Molecule: ribosomal RNA, 467 nt
Filed under: uncultured bacterium
Lineage: Bacteria
Description: partial 16S ribosomal RNA
Rfam family: Bacterial small subunit ribosomal RNA
Source: RNAcentral
GAUGAACGCUGGCGGCGUGCUUAACACAUGCAAGUCGAACGGUGAAGCAGAGCUUGCUCUGUGGAUCAGUGGCGAACGGGUGAGUAACACGUGAGCAACCUGCCCCUGACUCUGGGAUAAGCGCUGGAAACGGCGUCUAAUACUGGAUAUGAGCUGCGACCGCAUGGUCAGCAGUUGGAAAGAUUUUUCGGUCUGGGAUGGGCUCACGGCCUAUCAGCUUGUUGGUGAGGUAAUGGCUCACCAAGGCGUCGACGGGUAGCCGGCCUGAGAGGGUGACCGGCCACACUGGGACUGAGACACGGCCCAGACUCCUACGGGAGGCAGCAGUGGGGAAUAUUGCACAAUGGGCGAAAGCCUGAUGCAGAAACGCCGCGUGAGGGAUGACGGCCUUCGGGUUGUAAACCUCUUUUAGCAGGGAAGAAGCGAAAGUGACGGUACCUGCAGAAAAAGCGCCGGCUAACUACGUG